UUUACAUAUGAGACUGCUUGAUCGGUUUAUGAACUAAAUUGAGCGGACUAGGUAGUUCUUCUCUUAUAGCUUGAUCGAUUUAGGUCUCAACUCAAGCGAUUUAGUGUUUGAAUCGGUCACAGCUCAAGCGAUCAAAUAUCAUAUCGGUCACUGCUUAAUCGAUUUAGGAAUUUUAUCGCAGAUUGCUUGAUCGGAUAAGAGACUUCAUCGCAGGCUGUUUGAGCGAUUUAGGCAAAUUCAUCAGAGUUUGAGCGAUUUAAGAAUCUGCUUGAGCGAUUUAGAAAACCUGUUUGAGCGAUUUAGGAUACAGUUUGAGAAUUUAGGUCACAGCGUAAGCGAUUUAGGGGUUUAUCGCACACAGCGUAUGCGAUUUAGGGAGUUUAUUGCUCACGAGCAUCCGAUUUAGACAUUAUCGCACAGUUGUUGUCUUAUCCAAUCGACUUUCAUCACGGGUUGGUAAUCGCUGAAAGGGUUUAACAGCAUUCGAUUUACAUCUUCAUCGUUGCUAAAUCGGACAGCCAAAAUUGCUGGGCAUCUCAAGAACAGAUUUUGAAUGAAAUACGUUUACAAAAUCUGCAACGGCAACUUGUACAUGGUCUGCUUGAGGUGAUUACUCCUAGAAUAAAAUUGGACAAAAGAUUUUGUGCAGGUGUUCCAUGAGUGGAAGGUGAAACCUGUGAUCGAGGUACUUCUUUGCUCUGCUGAUUGGCAUAGGCACUGGAUUAGUUGUUCUCAUCAAUAUCUCUGUUGAGAACUUUGCUGGAUGGAAGUACUCGUUGACUUUUAGGAUAAUACAGAGUUCAUAUGUGGUUGGAUUUAUUGUAUAUACCGUGAUCAACUUGGCUUUAGUCUUUUCAUCCGUUUUUAUCAUCACACAAUUAGCCCCAGCAGCAGCAGGAUCUGGUAUACCUGAAAUCAAGGGUUAUGUGAAUGGGAUUGAUACUCGUGCAGCUCAUCAAUUUUCUGGUUUGUAAAACAUGGCAGCAGUGAGAUAAAGGAACAGCUGUUUAUGCAGAUAUUGUUGCUGCAUUUGGUGUUGUUGAAAUCGCUUCAGUUGCUGGUUCUGAAGAAGCUGUUCUUGCUGUUUCAUAUGCUGGUGUUGAAGCAUAGUAGAGUUUUGCUGUAGUGUACCCAUCCCACUAUGAGAUGACAAUGGAUUUAUGUUUUCUUGUUGAGGACCACUCACUGCAUUUUGUCACUGACCUGCUGCCAUGAGUUUAUUGUACUAUUCUGUCCUGAAUCAAGAUUAGAAUUAGGUUGUAUGGAACUCAUCAUGUUCUGUUGAGCAGUUGAAGAGACUGAAUUUUGUUGAAAACUCCUCAUAUUAUUAUGUUGCAUUGUUGCCAUAGAACCCUGUAAAUUCACCGUUUGCAUUUGGGAAUUCAUCUGAUUUUCAUGCGGUUG
Molecule: long non-coding RNA, 1404 nt
Organism: Cynara cardunculus var. scolymus (artichoke)
Lineage: Eukaryota; Viridiplantae; Streptophyta; Magnoliopsida; Asterales; Asteraceae
Exons: 3
Source: RefSeq, a predicted model, not a curated record